RNAcentral lists this ribosomal RNA (275 nucleotides) under uncultured Rhodovulum sp. RNAcentral describes it as "partial 16S ribosomal RNA". It matches the Rfam family "Bacterial small subunit ribosomal RNA", at positions 505 to 780 of the family's 1533-position model. The record is from RNAcentral. Lineage: Bacteria; Pseudomonadati; Pseudomonadota; Alphaproteobacteria; Rhodobacterales; Paracoccaceae.
GUGCCAGCAGCGGCGGUAAUACGGAGGGGGCUAGCGUUGUUCGGAAUUACUGGGCGUAAAGCGCGCGUAGGCGGAUUAUUAAGUCGGGGUGAAAUCCCGGGGCUCAACCCCGGAACUACCUUCGAUACUGGUAGUCUAGAGUUCUGGAGAGGUGAGUGGAAUUCCGAGUGUAGAGGUGAAAUUCGUAGAUAUUCGGAGGAACACCAGUGGCGAAGGCGACUCACUGGCCAGAUACUGACGCUGAGGUGCGAAAGCGUGGGGAGCAAACAGGAUUA